Hydra vulgaris (swiftwater hydra) is the source of this 1794-nucleotide non-coding RNA. Lineage: Eukaryota; Metazoa; Cnidaria; Hydrozoa; Anthoathecata; Hydridae. The record is from RefSeq and is a predicted model, not a curated record.
UUUGAAAUUUUUUUUAUAACAGAUGUCUUAUUCAGUAGUUAUUUUUAAUAUUGAUAAUGAAGUGGCAACAGUGUCCAGUAAAUGGUUCAAAGAUUCAGGAUGCGUUUUGUGGCCCAACUGUAGAGUAGGGAAGAAAUUGCAAAACAUGUUACUAAACCAUGAAGAGCCAGGUGCUGACUGGAUUUCUUAUGAAGUACGAGUGUUGUCCAGUAACAUCUUAACUCUCAAAUCAGCAAGGGCAAAGGAGCGACUAGCUGAGGAAAAUUCUGAUCUUAGUUCAGCUGAAGAUGGUAGCAGAAUUAUAUAUGCCCCUAGCAGAUUUAACAGUCAAGAAUAUUGUCAACCACCAUCCAAAAUCAGCAAAUUAACUUCAAAUAGCCAUACCACUUCCUAUUUAAACAACCCCUUGAUUCCUCAUGCACCAUCACUAGUUUCUAAUCCAUCUUUAAUUCAAACUUCAGCAUCGUUUUCUAAUGAUGAUCAUAGCAUAUUUAAUACGCAAGAGUUUUUACGACCCUUAGCCAAAAAUAGAAAAUUUAAUUUUAACUGCCAAACCACUUCAUCUAAUAACUAUCCUUCAUUUCCAGAUAAAUCAGCACUAGUUCCUGAUUUUUCAAUUUCAAACUCUGUUCAAACUCCAACACCAAUCUCUACUAAUGUUCCUUGUGCAUAUCAUUGUACGCAUGUUGUUACGUGGUUUGAGAAAUUAUUUAAAGAAAUACAACAAAUGCGUGCAGAACAGACUGUGAUAAAUCAUCGUUUAGAUCAACAAUGUCAAAAUGAGCAUCAGCAUGUAGAUAGCAAUUUUAUGAAUUGUCUUCCACUUGAGAGUGAAGUUGAUUUUGAACGAUUCGGUAUAGAGAUAGAUAGUGACAAUGGAAAACGAACUUCUUUGAUACGUUAUUUGCGGAAGAGGUCAGACUCAAAUGUCAACAAGACCAUACUAAAUAUAUUAAGAAGUUUAUUAAAGGACAAUGUUCUUAGUUGUUAUUCUAGAGAUGGGAAACGCGGAAAAAAAAGUUUUUCUUCAGCAAAGGGAAACUUUGUUUCCAUAAUUCAAGAUGUUGUUUUGAAAGUUCAUAAAGGUGUGUCGUUGGUCCAAAUAAAUGUUGCGAUUUCGGAACAAUUAAAGAGACUCAAUCAAAGAAAUCGAAAUUCUAAGUCUACAACAGCUGAAGAAACUACACCUGAAAUUCCAGAGUUUGAUUAAAAACCAAUUAUAUAAAGUCUUUUUUAUUGUUGAGAAGACUUAUAAGUUUGAAAGAUCCUGCUUACACACUUUGGUUAGCACUAUGACAUGUUACUUAUUUAGGGAUAGGCGAGGGCUUCAGUACAUACACUGACUGAUUUAGGGAGAACUCGCAAAAAAAUACAGCAAAUGCUGGAAGCUAGAACAGGAAGUUAUAAAUCAGCAUCUUGAUGGUAAAAUGAAAAUCAACAACUAGUAGCACUUCUUUGAAUUGUCUUUAAAUUAGAGUAAUGUUAAUUUUGAUUGGUAUGGAGAUAGAUGCAUACAAUGGAAAACGAACUGCUGUUAUAUUUUUGGAAGAUGUUAAACAACAAGAUGUAAUUCGAGAUAUUGUUUCUAAAAUUCUUAAAGACGUGUUAUUCGUUCAAGUAAACGAUGCUGUUAAAGCAGGUUGUCUGAGCAGUUAAAGAAACUUAAUCAAAUGAUUCAAAAUUCUCUUCUUUAAGCAGCCGAAGCAACGAUACUCGAAAUGCCUGGAAUGGAUAAUUAACCAAGUAAUAAAUAAACUUUGAAAUAAAGUUUAAAAAUAAAAAAUGUCUUGUUUA